GACAAUGAGGAUGUUAGCUGAGAAGAGGGAGUCCUGAAAUGCCAGUUAACCCAGCAGAAGUUGAUAAGCUCACUCACAGCCAGGGACAUGGUUUCCCAGGUAUACAGUUCUAUUGUAAAGGAGGCGAUGGGUUUCUUCUCCUCUGCCGACCCACUGAAUUUUAUAAGAAAAGCCAGUGGGCUCCCAGACAAAGUUAAAAAGGUACCUUCUUUAAUUUUGCAUAUUGUUAGCUGCAAUCCGGUUGCUAAUGUUUGUUUU
RNAcentral lists this long non-coding RNA (258 nucleotides) under Homo sapiens (human). RNAcentral's name for it is "HSALNT0386586". The record is from RNAcentral. Lineage: Eukaryota; Metazoa; Chordata; Mammalia; Primates; Hominidae.